GGGACACGUGGUAUCCUGUCUGAAUAUGGGGGGACCAUCCUCCAAGGCUAAAUACUCCUGACUGACCGAUAGUGAACCAGUACCGUGAGGGAAAGGCGAAAAGAACCCCGGCGAGGGGAGUGAAAAAGAACCUGAAACCGUGUACGUACAAGCAGUGGGAGCCUCUUAAUGGGGUGACUGCGUACCUUUUGUAUAAUGGGUCAGCGACUUAUAUUCUGUAGCAAGGUUAACCGAAUAGGGGAGCCGAAGGGAAACCGAGUCUUAACUGGGCGUUAAGUUGCAGGGUAUAGACCCGAAACCCGGUGAUCUAGCCAUGGGCAGGUUGAAGGUUGGGUAACACUAACUGGAGGACCGAACCGACUAAUGUUGAAAAAUUAGCGGAUGACUUGUGGCUGGGGGUGAAAGGCCAAUCAAACCGGGAGAUAGCUGGUUCUCCCCGAAAGCUAUUUAGGUAGCGCCUCGUGAAUUCAUCUCCGGGGGUAGAGCACUGUUUCGGCAAGGGGGUCAUCCCGACUUACCAACCCGAUGCAAACUGCGAAUACCGGAGAAUGUUAUCACGGGAGACACACGGCGGGUGCUAACGUCCGUCGUGAAGAGGGAAACAACCCAGACCGCCAGCUAAGGUCCCAAAGUCAUGGUUAAGUGGGAAACGAUGUGGGAAGGCCCAGACAGCCAGGAUGUUGGCUUAGAAGCAGCCAUCAUUUAAAGAAAGCGUAAUAGCUCACUGGUCGAGUCGGCCUGCGCGGAAGAUGUAACGGGGCUAAACCAUGCACCGAAGCUGCGGCAGCGACACUAUGUGUUGUUGGGUAGGGGAGCG
This 817-nucleotide ribosomal RNA is filed under the name Escherichia coli. RNAcentral's name for it is "bacterial LSU rRNA". It matches the Rfam family "Bacterial large subunit ribosomal RNA", at positions 419 to 1238 of the family's 2925-position model. The record is from RNAcentral. RNAcentral also lists the same sequence under 14 other names. Lineage: Bacteria; Pseudomonadati; Pseudomonadota; Gammaproteobacteria; Enterobacterales; Enterobacteriaceae.